AUACGUAGGGGGCGAGCGUUGUCCGGAAUGAUUGGGCGUAAAGGGCGCGUAGGCGGCCCGGUAAGUCUGGAGUGAAAGUCCUGCUUUUAAGGUGGGAAUUGCUUUGGAUACUGUCGGGCUUGAGUGCAGGAGAGGUAAGUGGAAUUCCCAGUGUAGCGGUGAAAUGCGUAGAGAUUGGGAGGAACACCAGUGGCGAAGGCGACUUACUGGACUGUAACUGACGCUGAGGCGCGAAAGUGUGGGGAGCAAACAGGAUUAGAUACCCUGGUAGUCCACACUGUAAACGAUGAAUGCUAGGUGUAGGGGGUAUCGACCCCUUCUGUGCCGCAGUCAACACAAUAAGCAUUCCGCCUGGGGAGUACGGCCGCAAGGUUGAAACUUAAAGGAAUUGACGGGG
RNAcentral lists this ribosomal RNA (397 nucleotides) under uncultured bacterium. RNAcentral's name for it is "partial 16S ribosomal RNA". It matches the Rfam family "Bacterial small subunit ribosomal RNA", at positions 523 to 918 of the family's 1533-position model. The record is from RNAcentral.